AUUUGAAUGUCUGCAAGGACAAGCUGCUGACUCAAAUCAUGCUGGGAAGACCAAAAGCUUGUUCACCAUGUAUGCACAUCACAAGAUGCACGACUGACAACAAUGGACUCGUCGCGUUCAGUGGAUGAGCAGGAGACUGUACCGGCGCGCUCUCAACAAGCAAGCGUCAUUCUUUGUUGAGUUGCUAGGAAGUAGUAAGUCUUGCCACCAUUGCAACUAAAUUUAUACCGUAGCCGUACAAAUUACAUUAUAUUUUUUUUUAUUGGAUUUGUACUACUCCUUGUUGGUUGUUGGUCUGAGCCUGAUUGUUCGAUGAUCCACGUAUUCAAUAGACGGUGGCGCCGCCAGCUAAGCGCUCGGCCCUUGAGUGAGUACGUGAGGCGGUAUCUUCUGGUUGGUCAAAGGGAAGUUGGUUGGACAUGUGAUUUAUUGUUCAAAGCGUGGAUUAGUUCGUGAUAUGUAUCCGCCUGUAGGAGAAGUG
Molecule: small RNA, 481 nt
Filed under: Cryptococcus neoformans H99
Lineage: Eukaryota; Fungi; Basidiomycota; Tremellomycetes; Tremellales; Cryptococcaceae
Description: Cryptococcus neoformans var. grubii H99 hypothetical RNA
Source: RNAcentral